RNAcentral lists this ribosomal RNA (633 nucleotides) under Serbiona mehadiensis. Its description in RNAcentral is "partial 16S ribosomal RNA". It matches the Rfam family "Bacterial large subunit ribosomal RNA", at positions 1830 to 2826 of the family's 2925-position model. Lineage: Eukaryota; Metazoa; Annelida; Clitellata; Crassiclitellata; Lumbricidae. The record is from RNAcentral.
UUCUUGAAUAUAUAAAUAAGAAGUAAUUCCUGCCCAGUGACACAAGUUCAACGGCCGCGGUAUCCUAACCGUGCAAAGGUAGCAUAAUCACUUGCCCAUUAAUUGUGGGCUAGAAUGAAAGGACCAACGAAAUAAAAACUGUCUCUAUAAGACACAUAAAAAUUAAUCUCUAACUGAAGACCGUUAGAUAUAAUUGAAGGACAAGAAGACCCUAUAGAGCUUUAUUUAAAUAAAGAAUAAAACUUUAAUAAAAUUCGGUUGGGGCGACCAGGGAAAUAAUCUAUCAUCCCUUAAUAAAAGACUAAUAAGUCUCAAUAAUGACCCUCUAAAGAUCAUAAAAACAAGCUACCUUAGGGAUAACAGGCUAAUCUCAUUAGAGAGUCCUUAUCAAUAAUGAGGAUUGGCACCUCGAUGUUGGCUUAGGGAAUCUAUGUGGCGCAAAAGUCACACAAAGAUGGUUUGUUCAACCAAUAACACCCUACAUGAGCUGAGUUCAGACCGGCGUAAGCCAGGUUAGUUUCUAUCCUCAAUAUGAUAUUUUACUUAUAGUACGAAAGGACCUAAGUAUAAGCAAUAAUUGUAAUCCAAAGAAUUAAUAUAAAACAAAUUAACAAAAAAUAACUAUAUAAUAUA